Molecule: non-coding RNA, 27 nt
Filed under: Homo sapiens (human)
Lineage: Eukaryota; Metazoa; Chordata; Mammalia; Primates; Hominidae
Source: RNAcentral
UGCCACAAAGCCAGGACCAGCUCGGGG